UACGAAGGGUGCAAGCGUUACUCGGAAUUACUGGGCGUAAAGGGCGCGUAGGCGGCCUGCUAAGUCGGACGUGAAAUCCCUAGGCUCAACCCAGGAACUGCGUCCGAUACUGGUUGGCUUGAAUCCGGGAGAGGGAUGUGGAAUUCCAGGUGUAGCGGUGAAAUGCGUAGAUAUCUGGAGGAAUACCGGUGGCGAAGGCGGCAUCCUGGACCGACAUUGACGCUGAUGAGCGAAAGCCAGGGGAGCAAACGGG
RNAcentral lists this ribosomal RNA (253 nucleotides) under uncultured bacterium. Its description in RNAcentral is "partial 16S ribosomal RNA". It matches the Rfam family "Bacterial small subunit ribosomal RNA", at positions 524 to 776 of the family's 1533-position model. The record is from RNAcentral.